GCCUUGAAAAGCUAUAUCGGCCAACUGCGUGUCGUUUAAAGCCAGGGAAUAGCACUUGUUCCUGAUUUCCCGAAACCUCUGUACAUACGAGGAUAUCGGCUCGUCACUUCUUUGCCUGAGGCUGGUCAAAUCGGAUAGUUUCAUCUCAUGCACCCCAGCGUAGAAGUAUUUGUGGAAUUGUCUUUCUAAAUCGGCCCAUGUGAUAAUCGAGUUUGGCGGCAAUGUCGUGAACCAUUG
RNAcentral lists this long non-coding RNA (237 nucleotides) under Setaria viridis. RNAcentral describes it as "long non-coding RNA (SVIR_LNC006894)". The record is from RNAcentral. Lineage: Eukaryota; Viridiplantae; Streptophyta; Magnoliopsida; Poales; Poaceae.